This is a long non-coding RNA of Myripristis murdjan (pinecone soldierfish), 226 nucleotides long. RefSeq lists it as uncharacterized. The record is from RefSeq and is a predicted model, not a curated record. Lineage: Eukaryota; Metazoa; Chordata; Actinopteri; Holocentriformes; Holocentridae. The transcript is spliced from 3 exons.
UGGUCCAAGUGUAGGAAAAGAAAUGCAAUAUACAAAUGCAGUCUGGGCAACUCUCCUCAUCCUGAUACCAGUCGCUCUGUUUCUCCUCUAUUUGUGCAUCAGGAAGAAGAAAUCUCUAACGUCUGAGCAAAGUGACCCAGUACAGACUGUACAGUCAGACUCUGAUCCUGUGUUUGAGAGCAUCACUGCAGCACAGACAGAAGCCACAGAGGAGCAGGAAGACCAG